This 27-nucleotide small RNA is filed under the name Arabidopsis thaliana (thale cress). Its description in RNAcentral is "ATSL135500". The record is from RNAcentral. Lineage: Eukaryota; Viridiplantae; Streptophyta; Magnoliopsida; Brassicales; Brassicaceae.
UGAUUUUUUUCGUUUUUUUUUGGAUUU